GACGAACGCUGGCGGCGUGCCUAAUACAUGCAAGUAGAACGCACAGUUUAUACCGUAGCUUGCUACACCAUAGACUGUGAGUUGCGAACGGGUGAGUAACGCGUAGGUAACCUGCCUGGUAGCGGGGGAUAACUAUUGGAAACGAUAGCUAAUACCGCAUAAUAUUGAUUAUUGCAUGAUAAUUAAUUGAAAGGUGCAAUUGCACCACUACCAGAUGGACCUGCGUUGUAUUAGCUAGUAGGUGAGGUAACGGCUCACCUAGGCGACGAUACAUAGCCGACCUGAGAGGGUGAUCGGCCACACUGGGACUGAGACACGGCCCAGACUCCUACGGGAGGCAGCAGGAGGGAAUCUUCGGCAAUGGACGAAAGUCUGACCGAGCAACGCCGCGUGAGUGAAGAAGGUUGUCGGAUCGUAAAGCUCUGUUGUAAGAGAAGAACGGGUGUGAGAGUGGAAAGUUCACACUGUGACGGUAUCUUACCAGAAAGAGACGGCUAACUACGUG
This 505-nucleotide ribosomal RNA is filed under the name uncultured bacterium. Its description in RNAcentral is "partial 16S ribosomal RNA". It matches the Rfam family "Bacterial small subunit ribosomal RNA", at positions 28 to 507 of the family's 1533-position model. The record is from RNAcentral.